GACGAACCGUGCGAACGUUGUUCGGAAUCACUGGGCUUAAAGGGCGCGUAGGCGGCCCCGCCAGUCUCGGGUGAAAUCUUCCGGCCCAACCGGAAAAGUGCCCGGGAUACUGCGGGGCUCGAGCGAGGCAGGGGCGGGGGGAACUUCCGGUGGAGCGGUGAAAUGCGUUGAUAUCGGGAGGAACGCCGGUGGCGAAAGCGCCCCGCUGGGCCUCUCCUGACGCUGAGGCGCGAAAGCCAGGGGAGCGAACGGG
RNAcentral lists this ribosomal RNA (253 nucleotides) under uncultured bacterium. RNAcentral's name for it is "partial 16S ribosomal RNA". It matches the Rfam family "Bacterial small subunit ribosomal RNA", at positions 524 to 776 of the family's 1533-position model. The record is from RNAcentral.